This 508-nucleotide ribosomal RNA is filed under the name uncultured bacterium. RNAcentral's name for it is "bacterial SSU rRNA". It matches the Rfam family "Bacterial small subunit ribosomal RNA", at positions 30 to 529 of the family's 1533-position model. The record is from RNAcentral.
AUUGAACGCUGGCGGAAUGCUUUACACAUGCAAGUCGAACGGUAGAGGGGGCAACCCCCUUGAGAGUGGCGAACGGGUGAGUAAUAUAUCGGAACGUGCCCAGUCGUGGGGAUAACGUAGCGAAAGUUACGCUAAUACCGCAUACGAUCUACGGAUGAAAGCGGGGGGACUCGCAAGAGCCUCGCGCGAUUGGAGCGGCCGAUAUCAGAUUAGGUAGUUGGUGGGGUAAAGGCUCACCAAGCCAACGAUCUGUAGCUGGUCUGAGAGGACGACCAGCCACACUGGAACUGAGACACGGUCCAGACUCCUACGGGAGGCAGCAGUGGGGGAAUUUUUGGACAAAUGGACGCAAGUCUGAUCCAGCCAUUCCGCGUGCAGGAUGAAGGCCCUCGGGUUGUAAACUGCUUUGUACGGAACGAAAAGGUUUCUAUUAAUACUAGGAGCUCAUGACGGUACCGUAAGAAUAAGCACCGGCUAACUAACGUGCCAGCAGCCGCGGUAAAGUGAC